UCCUGAACCACUAGACGAUGGGGGC
RNAcentral lists this transfer RNA (25 nucleotides) under Stewartia pseudocamellia. RNAcentral's name for it is "partial tRNA-Glu". Lineage: Eukaryota; Viridiplantae; Streptophyta; Magnoliopsida; Ericales; Theaceae. The record is from RNAcentral. RNAcentral also lists the same sequence under 8 other names.